UUACCGUGGAGGGAAAGUUGCAAAGAACUUUGGAGAGAGAGUUCAAGAGUACGUGAAACCGCUCGGAGGUAAACGGGUGGGACCUCGAAGGUCGAACGGGUGGAUUCAACCUGUCGGUGGUCGCGCUGUCGGUGGUCGCGUUGCUGCAGAUACAUCCUAGGUAACAGAUUCCAAGGACUGGUUUGCGGUGACAAAAGCGACUUGCUGGCGGGCGCACUUCCACCUCAGUAGGACGCCGCGACCGGUCGGAAAGUCUGAAAGUGAGCAGCCAUAAGUCGAAAGUGGUUAGCAGGUAUCCGUUGCCGGUAGUUCUGGGAGUGCAUUAACGUGCGUCUCUUUGGAGCCCGGUCGGAGUUACAGCCCGCUUCUGCACGACUGGCCCUGUUCGCCGACCGUUGCGAAAGACUCGAUUUUGUCGGCGUGCCCGCUCUUAAAACGCGUGUCCGUUUCCGGGAGGCUGGGUGGAGGUUGUUUGCGGAUGGACACCCAAUAACGGGUGGCCUCUGCCUCUCCGCCUGCCACGUUACCCGGGAAAAAACGUUUGGUAGGGUGAGCACGGUGGCAGCUUAGAGGUCUGGCGGAGUAGUAUCCGCUUCCCCACGACGAACAA
This 610-nucleotide ribosomal RNA is filed under the name Geophilus flavus. RNAcentral describes it as "partial 26S ribosomal RNA". Lineage: Eukaryota; Metazoa; Arthropoda; Chilopoda; Geophilomorpha; Geophilidae. The record is from RNAcentral.